Molecule: long non-coding RNA, 2578 nt
Filed under: Oryctolagus cuniculus (rabbit)
Lineage: Eukaryota; Metazoa; Chordata; Mammalia; Lagomorpha; Leporidae
Description: lncRNA (ENSOCUG00000032528.1)
Source: RNAcentral
AGGAACAGAGGCGGCGGGGAUGAUGAGAGGUGACGAGAGGACUGGGUGGCGGGGAUGACACCUUGUCCCCCUCCGUCUCCCCUGGGCCUCUGUCCACCCCACCCACAGCGCCGGAGGGCAUUCAGCCCCCGUGGAGGACCCUGCAGAGGUCCCGGGGGGAGCGGCCGUCCCCAGCUUCAUGUGCAGGGGGUCCCCAGCCCAGGCCCGGGGCCCGUGAGCCCAGCUGCAGCUGGGGCCGUCCCAGAGGGCGUGAGGGUAAACCGGGCCCUGGUGGCACGGGACAGGUGUCCUCCUGAGAAGAGCAGCUGGGGACGCAGUCACACGCAGAGGGGCGGCCGCGGGAGGGCACGGGAGGAGACGCCGCCCGCAAGCCCAGGGCAGAGUCCUCGGGAGCGGCCCGCCCUGCCUCGCGGGACCCGCCAGGGCUUGCCUCCUGGGGCUGGGGCUGCUGCCACUGGGGGGGGGGGGGAAGCAGGGCGGGGCAGGGGGCAGGGCAGAGGGACCCUUGGCAGCUGAGCUGGCUGAGACUGGCUCCCAGGCCCACACCCACAGAGGGGGCAUCGGGCGGGACAGGCACGUGGCCCCUGCAGGAGGACCUCCUGGACAGACAGGAACUGCGGUCAGCUGCUGGCUGAGCUGGGACGAUGUGUGUGUGCGUGUCCACGCAUGUGCAUGCGCCAUGCUGGCUGUGGGUGCAUGUGCGCAAGCGUGUGGGUGCGUAUAGAGGAAGCCAGGCCUGGUGUGUGUGGCCUCCCCCCAGCGGCCCCGCACUGCUCAGGAAGACGGGGGCACCCUCUGCGCACAGCCCCUUGUCAAACAGGAAGGUGGCCUCAGCCGGCGUGGCCACCUGGGAGCCCCCAGGAGGGCCUGAGGGCGUGGCAGAUGGCCCAGACUCCCCAUCAUUCACCACCUCGACUUGGCUCACGGAGGGGCCAGGGGCCAGAAGCCGGAGCCUGGUGCGGCCAAGGUGAGCCCAACCUGGGAACGGCCUCGCUGAACCACUCGGCGCGUGGGGGAGCAGCCCAAGGUCAAGCUCAGGGGUGGGGGUGGGGGUGGAGGAGGAGAGGGAGGGAGAGGGAGAGGCAGAGGCGGGGGGGGGGGAGGAAGGGGGAUGGCCUAGCCCGGCCAGGGGUCCGGGGGAGGAAGCAGAACGGGGUGGCCGGGGGCAGAGGCCGAGGGGUGGCUGGAUGGGGGUGUGGUGGGGACGUGUGACAGCCGGGGCACUGAGCGCUGAGCCCAGCUUACGGCCCCCAGCACAAGCCAGAAAGCAAACGGUGCAGCAGGCUGACGCCCGCCAGACCCUGCCGCUGGCCACGCCCACACCGCCGCAGGACGUCCAGCCAGGAUGGCACCCAGGGCCCCAGGCCUGAGCCAGGCUCCAGCCGCCCCCUCCCUACGCCGUCCUGCCUGGGCCCGGGGUGCCCAGCCCUCCUGAGCAGAGUCCAGGGGCUGUGGGCUCCGGGGCGGACACUUCCAGAGAUCCUCCAGGGCCCCACGUGGCUGCAGGCUGCCCGCAGUGGCAGCAGCGCGUGGGUCCAUGAUGCCGGCGCUGGAAUGAGCCCCUGUUUGUGCCAGGGAAGCUUUGCCCGUCCCUGACUCCCUGCCCCUGGGUGGAGCGAGCCUGCAGGGGAGGGCAGUGUGGGGACCCCCAGGGACAGCACAGGGCCCGGGGCCCGGGGGACAGGCAGCGCCCUUCUCCCCAAUGGAGCAGGAACCUCAGGACUGACAGUGAUGGGGGGCACGUGGGGCCCUUUGGAGGGUGGCCGCGGGGCACCUGCCCAGGGAGCUGGGAGGAGGGUGGGCUGGCACCCCCCUCCCCCAGGCCUCCAUUUCACGACUGUGGGUGGGUAGAGGGCGGGACAGGGUGACACACAGGACCCCAGGGGAAGCCGCCAUCCAGUCCUGCAUGGGCCCGGCCACUGAGCAAACGGCUGGGGAUGAGCAGUGUCCACUUGCUGCAGCCACGCGGGACAGGGUGGGCGAAGGGGCAGCGGGCCGACCUGGGGAGGGGCCGCCACCUCCAGGACCCUGCCUGGGAGCCGUGGUCCCUCCGUCCUCGCUCUGAGCCUCCCCGCCCAGGUCUGUCCGGGGGACGGGACCACGUGGCAGGAAGAGCUCCGGGAGUGACCAGGGCUCGGUGUUUGCCAGGAGAGGACCUCACUCAGUCACUCAGCAAGCGUGUGCUGCAGCCAGGAGCCCGGGCUGAGGCCCAGCAGGGGGCACCAGCCCCAGGCCCCCACCCCGGUCACCAAGUGGCAACGCCUUUGGCCUGGUGCAGGCCCUCACAGCCCCCACCUGGAUUCCUGCCUCUCCUACUUCCAGUAGUGCAUCCCCCCUCACCCCCAGGGUUAGAGCAAUUUCCUCAGAUUGAUAAAAACACCUGUCAGGGUGUGCAUACAACCAUUUACAGGUCUGUCUUUUCUCUGACAGUCUGAGGAGUAGGAGAGCCAGGGGACCAAUCAAAUCAGAAUUGGUGACUUAGGCCAGUCAUCUGCUUUCUGCCCCUGUGGACUUUUCAGGCUCUUGCAUUUUACGAAAAGGAAAUAAAGCUGUAACCAAAAUGAGGAUGAUGAGGAUG